RNAcentral lists this long non-coding RNA (6366 nucleotides) under Sus scrofa (pig). Its description in RNAcentral is "lncRNA (ENSSSCG00035020837.1, ENSSSCG00045030153.1)". The record is from RNAcentral. Lineage: Eukaryota; Metazoa; Chordata; Mammalia; Artiodactyla; Suidae.
UUUUUUCUUUUGAACAUUAUCAAAUUGGAAUGUGAAAUUUGAAGCUAUCACCGUAGCCAUUUUGCUACCAGAUUGAAAAUAAAGCAUUACAUUGAAAAGGGCACAGCUAAGAUCAUUACAAAGGAGUGAAGCUAUUCCUAAUGCACUAAGCCUAGAGAACAUUCUACAUCUGGACUUUUCUUGAAAGAGAAUAAUUUUCUCACUGUUUAGUGCAGUUUGAGGGAAGGUAUUCUUUGACUUGCUGUGGAAAACAUAAUAUAAAAAGUGUGCAGAAGCCAGAUACUAAAAGGAAAGCCCCAAAGAGAGAAAAACCACAUGGAAAAUAUCUGUCCUCUAACCUCUGAGAGGUUUAUAAGAAAUAAUACAUUCAUCUUGAUUUUUUUUAGAUAAAUUGUUCUGGGUAUAAUGUGAAGAGUGGAGUACAGGAGGGGAGAUUCAGGGACAAGAUAAGCAAUCAAGAAAUGCUGCAAAAACAAAGGUGGUACGGGGGUUUGAACAAGCGUCGUGGUAGAUGUGGAUGCCCAGAUGUAGAUAGAGGCACAUGUUGGUUCAGCUCACUUUAAAGGGAAUGUUGCACACUUUCUAGGUGUACUACACUGUGUUAGAGGUUGAAGCUACAAAGAAUAAGAGUCUUUGCCUUCAAAGAGCUCACAGGUUAGCAAGAGGGAAAGACAGAUCAGCAAUUGGCCAAUAUAACAUAGUCAGUGUGUAGCUGAGGCUGGUGCACAGGUGCUAUGAGAGGACUUACUGAUGCCCCAGGGAGAAAGCAGAGAGGGGAGAUUUCUAGGGAAAAAACACACAAAAUAUUCAAUAUCUAUACUUUACAGCCUCCCAUCUACUCCUUAUUUUAUUGCAAUUUGACUUCAGCUCUUCUCAAUUAAAUUUCCCUCCCUGAGUCUUCAGAGGGAAUUUUAUACUAGAAUUGAAGAUGACCUCCUUCAGCUUAAUUAAACUGUCUUCAGCAGUUCUGUGUGAACUUAAAAUUCACUUCCUUGGAAAAGUGUUUCUAACCAUUUAGAUGGGGAAACAAACCCUCUCAGGUGCUCACAUGUCCUGCUCUAUAACCGCUAUCACCCCCCACAUGUUUUUUAAUGUCCAUCCAUUAUUUGUCCAUAUACAUCAUGGCUUGUUAACUCCCUGGGGACUGUUAACAUUUCAGGCAGGUUCACCAUUGAAUUCAGUUCCCUAGGAGUGUAUGGUAUUUACAAGGUGUUGGGUAAGUAAUUUACCCAUGAAGAAGAAGUAAAUGAAUGGAACACUGACUCUAUGACCAUAAUUAGAAGUUCAAUGCAGAGAGUGAUUGUGGAUAAGGGUGAAGAUGCAGCAGAAGUCAGCUCACCAAAUGACUUGAUACCUUCUUGUGCAGGUGGGAUACCACUGAGGGAAAAUUUAACUCAAGAGGUAGUAUUAACCUGCUGGGCUAGAAAAAGGAAAAUAUGAUUCCAGUGGAAGAGACUUUUCAACAUGGUUUGUAUUGCCUUGAUUCGUUCCUUAUUUACUAUGCACAUGAUACCAGUCAGGAAAAUGGUCCAGGGGGAAAACACUGCAGAUGAAAGUGGGGUGCCAGCCUCUCAGAGAAUGGACCUGAAAUUGAAGAGCUGGAAUGAACGUGAAGUUUAUCCACCUCAGUGGCUCCAAGAUAGAAACAUAAGGUGCCCGAGAAAAUUCAGAAAAUUCCCGAUUCCAGUCUCAGAAGACACUAAUUCACUAGGUGUGGGUGAGGUCUAAGAAUCUAUUAAAAGCCUUUCAGCCAAACCUGAUGGGCAAAGAAAACCUCUGAUCUACCUCAACUCUUUCAUUUGCGCAUAAAGAAACUGACCCCAGAAGAUGUGUUGCUACUGUUCAGCCAUUACUGGCCGAACAAGGAUUAUAAAUUCAGUCUCUUGACCCGGAGGCCAAAGCUCAUAGCAUUAAAUCUAAUGAGGCACAAAAGUUGGCCAGAAGUUGGAAGAACAAAAUUCCGAAGAGAUCAUGUAGCUUCGGUCCCUUAUAAUAAUAUAUUUGCGAAAUUAGUUUUUAGUUCCAGCCAUCUGAGCAACGAGCCACAUAGGUGAGAAGGGACCACAUAAUAAUUUGUAGCCACUUUGUUUAGGGAACUUGGAUCACAGUAAAUCUCACAGAUUUUCUAAACCUGUGUUGACAAAGGACCUGCAGACGGCAGGGUAUUUUACACCAAGCAGUGAGUUAUUAAUGACAUUAAUCAUGAGCAAUAAACAUCUGUUCUUCAGGAAGCCUAAGUACAGAAGAAAAAAGAUGGAUGAACAUUUUUGUGUUAAAGACUUGGACUAGGUGUGUGUUAACUCUAUUUAUUAUUAAAUGAUAGAGUUAUCAAAGGAGAUGGCUUGAUUGUUCUUUGGGGUGGGAUUUUUAGCUUAAAUGUGGAAGGCAUCAGAUCUCUUCAUUGAACACGGUGGAGGGUGAUAUGAGUUGAUGUCUCAGUAGAGCCUAGUAAGACCUCUGUCCUUUCAAGCAUUCCUCAGUCAGUCCCCAAGAGAACUGGUAUAAGUUUGGUCCAGAUCCUGUUUGAAAGUGUGGGUGGUCAGUCACCAUUCCCUUUAUUUUACCCAGAAACAUCAGCUAUCAUUCAACAUGCUUCUGCAGUGAAAACACUGGUCAAGAUCUUCCUUUAAUCCCUCGAGACAAGGACAAAGCAGUCCAUCAUUGUGGAAAAUGACUGCAUCACUACAGGUGACUGGCAGGUCACUAUCUCUACAAAGGCAACAUAAGUCAUUAUAUUAAUUAGGCUUUUCUGAAUUAUAUUUUAGCUUCACUUCCAACCCAUUGUUAAUUUUUGGUCAUUCUUUCACAGUUCAUUCACCCAGUGAAGGAGAGACAGCAAGCAUGUUUUUAGGUUUUCAACAGUUCUAAUAAUGUCUUUUUAAAAAUACAUACUAUGUGUGUGUAUGUUUUGUAUACAUUGUUUAAAAGUUAUUAAUUUACCAAACUUAGUAGACACUGCUUUUUCCCUAUGGAAGUAUACUUCCAAUAAUUAAUUAUUGACAUGAACACUUACCAUAUUUAUCAUAGGAGAGGAAAACCAAGUUACAAGAAAUCUGUGGAUAAUAAAGUAGCAAACAGAUUAUACUUAUGUUGGCCAAUGGGGACCUACCUGCUGUACAGCACAGAGAACUCUACCCAGUAUUCUGUGAUCAUCUUUGUGGGAAAAGAAUCAGAGAGAAUGGAUAUGUGUUUAUGUAUGACUGGAUCACUUUGUUGUGCAGCAGAAAUGAGCACAGCCUUGUAAAUUAACUAUACUUUGAUAAAACUUAAAAUAAUAAUAAAAGAUUACACUUAUGUUAGUUCACAAAGCAUUUUCUCUUUCAUGUAUUAAAACACACUGAUAACACUUGUUUGUAUUUUCAUCUGUUUGCUUAUGCAUUCAGUAAAUAUGGUUUGGGUGUUAAUUAAGUACACGCCACUAAGCUAGAUUUUUGAGGGUAUACAAAUUAAUGAGACAUAAUCUCUGCCCUUCCUUGAGGCAGACUCCACAGUAAAUAGGGCCUAAACAUGACCAAUGAUUCUACAGGAUUUCAUCUUUACACUGAGGGCAAUGGACCACUAUUGGUGGGCUGGGAGGGAGGAGAAGGGAUACAAUCUGCAUUUUUUUAUAUCAUUAAUUCUCUUUUCAGUUAUUAUUAUUAUUAUUAAAGUAUAGUUGAUUUACAAUGUUUCAUCAAGUUCUGUUGUACAAGAAAGUGACCCAAUCACACACAUUUCCCUGUGCUGUACAGUAGGAUCCCAUUGCCCAUCCAUUCAAAAUAUAAGAGUUUGAAUUUCCAAAACCCCCAAAAUGCAUAUCCAUCCCUCUCCCUCCUCCCCCCAGCUCCUGUAAACCACAAGUCUGCUCUUCUUGGCCAUGCUCUGUUUCUGCUUUUUGUUUGUUUGUUAUUUUUAGAUAGGAUCAUCUGUUCCAUAUUUUAGAUUCUACAAAUAAGUAAUACAAUAUGGUAUUUGCCUUUUUCGUUCUGGUGUACUUCACUUAAUAUGAGAGUCUCUAGAUCCAUCCUGUUGCUGCAAAUAGCAUUAGUCUGUCUUUUUUAUGGCUGAGUAAUAUUCCAUUGUAUAUAUGCACCACAUCUUCUUAAUCCAUUCAUCUGUCCAUGGACAUUUAGGUUGUUUCCAUGUCUUGGCUAUUGUGAAUAGUGCUGCUAGGAACAUACAGGUGCAUGUAUCUUUUUCAAUGAAAGUUUUGUCUGGAUAAAUGCCCAGCAGUGGAAUUGCUGGAUCAUAUGGUAGCUCUAUAUUUACUUUCCUGAGGCACCUCGAUACUGUUUUCCAUAGUGGUUGUACCAAUAUACAUUCCCACCAACAGUGGAGGAUUCAGAUUGGUAUGGGAAGAGAUUGGAGGGGACCAGCUGGACGGCCGUUGCAGGAAUUCAGGCAAGAAAUAAUGGCAGGUGGGCAUCACAGAGUCAGCGGGGGAAGAGAGAGAGAAGUACAUACAUUGGAGAGAUAUUCACAGCUUAAAAUCCCCUAGUUUGAGCAUUAAUGAGGUAGAGGCUAGUCCCAAACUUUAAUUUCAGCCUCUGGAGAGAUGACGGUGCCACUCACAGAGUUGUGACACACAGGAAGAAUAGCAGGUGUGAUCUUGGGGUAAUGAUGAGAUGCAUUUUGGGCAUUUUUGUACUGGAAAUGUCAAUAGGGAAGUCCAAAGGAAAUGGCUUCCUUUGAAGUAUAGGGGAGAUUUUUAAGUGAAAGAUGUAUAUGUGUACAUUCACACACACAUAAACACACACACACACACACACACAGAGAAACGUCAAGUCUAUAACAGCUACAGAAAAUCUCUGGGAAAGCCCCUCCCUAUCCAGAGAGUGUGUUUCCAGGGUAACAAGAAAAAGACAAGAACAACCUUGGGCUCCCAAGAUUUAGGUAGGAAUCAUCCCAAGAUGAAGAAGAUGAAAAAUGAGCCAGGGAAGUGGGAGGAAAGACAAAGUAGUGAGUUGUGGGAAAGUGCUGGAAACCAAAAGGCAAAGAAAGAGAAGGUGGCAUAGGGUGAGUCAGAGUCUUUUGGGACCUUGGCAGAGAAGCUUCACUGGAGACCAGAGGAGAGUUGACAAAGAAGGUGAGAAGGAGGAGAUAUUAGGUGAAAAUAAUGACUCCACAAAGUCCAACUAAUGAUAAAUGCUGUGAAAUAGCAUGAAGAUGGAUGAGGGCUCAAAGGGUGCUUUGAUUUGUGUGUGUCUGAAGACAAGAGAUGUUUCAAGAGCCAAGAAAAAGAAAUAUCAGAGCCUUGAAAGAAAGUAAGAGAAACUGAUGAAGCCAGGAAGUGCCAGAUGGAAAUGGAACUGGAGCCCUGGACCACUGAUAACUCAGAACACAUAGACAACAGGCUAAGGAGGCAGCCUUUCCCUUUAUUUUUUUAUUUGGGAAAAGUAUUCAGAAUAAAGCCACUUGGGUGACUCUGAUUUGAUCCACAGAGGUCCAUUUUUCCUAUUCAUUUAAUUAUAAUAUUCACUGAAGGUCUACCUUGUCCCAGUACUGCGCUAGGCACUCAAAAGGCACGGUGAUAAAUCGAACACAGUCCUUCCCCACAAGGAACCCACUGCUUUACAGGGUGGGAGUGGGGGGGUGGAGCCAAAGCGUGCACAUACACUAAUUCCAAGGCAAUCUCUGAUAAUUUUAGCAUUGAUUUAUAGCUUUCAAUGAGUACCAAAAAAGCCCUCUAUACCUAUUUCUUAGUCUACCUAUUCUAACAGUACUCUAAUACAAUUGCAAAUCACCAUCUCAUAAACGUUGACCACUGGAUGGCUAGAUUAGUUAUUAAUCUAGCCAGGGGGCUGGAAUUAAUUAACCUUAGCAGUGAACAGUAUUUUGACCUUGGUCUAAUCAGGCCAAUUUUCCACUCUGGAGAACAUGAUUAAUUAUCUGGUUCAUUCAGGGAAGGAACCCCAACAGAACAAAACAUGCCAACACACCAGAGUUUUUACCUUAAUUAUUAGGAUUACAAUGCAAUUUUUGACACAGUGUGCCUUUCCUCUGAUAAGAAAAUGCACGAUAAAAUCAAACAAUACUUUAGACCUCUAAAUAGUUAAGGAAAGAGAAGUGAAAAUUCAAUCUAAUUUGUCAGGAAAGGAGAUUUAUUUUGCUAUGAUAUCAAAUGUAUUCUUUUUAUUCACUUUAUUUCAUUGUAUUUUGCAUAAGCUACCCUUUUUAUAAGGCAAGAUGCAAGAUAAUUCUUUGCUAUUAAUAUCCUGUAUACCUAAUAGAAAAGAAGCUGAUAAACUCUUCUAAAAUACCUCAAAAUUCUGCCACAUGCAUAUUUUUUUAAUCAAAUAUAAACAGUACCCUUGACUAUUAAAAAAAAAUUAAUGUGAGGAGUUCCCGUCGUGGCUCAGAGGUUAACGAAUCCGACUAGGAACCAUG